AGAGUUUGAUCAUGGCUCAGGGUGAACGCUGGCGGUAUGCCUAAGACAUGCAAGUCGCACGGACUGUUUCGGCAGUGAGUGGCGGACGGGUGAGUAACACGUAGGUGACCUGCCCUGAAGUCUGGGACAACUAGGAGAAAUCUUAGCUAAUCCUGGAUGUGAACCUCGGUUUUGUCCGAUGUUUAAAGCUUCGGCGCUUCAGGAUGGGCCUGCGCUGGAUCAGGUAGUUGGUGGGGUAAUGGCCCACCAAGCCGACGACCCAUAGCUGGUCUGAGAGGACGACCAGCCACAGGGGUACUGAGACACGGACCCCACUCCUACGGGAGGCAGCAGUUAGGAAUCUUCCCCAAUGGGCGCAAGCCUGAGGGAGCGAUACCGCUUGAAGGACGAAGCCCCUCGGGGUGUAAACUUCUGAACUCGGGACGAUGAUGACGGUACCGAGGUAAUAGCACCGGCUAACUCCGUGCCAGCAGCCGCGGUAAUACGGAGGGUGCGAGCGUUACCCGGAUUUACUGGGUGUAAAGGGCGUGUAGGCGGUCUCUUUAGUCCGAUGCUAAAGACCGAAGCUCAACUUCGGGAGUGCGUUGGAUACUGUGAGGCUAGACGGUCGGAGAGGGUAGCGGAAUUUCCGGAGUAGCGGUGAAAUGCGCAGAUACCGGAAGGAACGCCAAUAGCGAAAGCAGCUACCUGGACGAUUUGUGACGCUGAGGCGCGAAAGCGUGGGGAGCAAACCGGAUUAGAUACCCGGGUAGUCCACGCCCUAAACGUUGAGUGCUGGGUGUCCGACAUCUGUUGGGUGCCGUAGCUAACGCGUUAAGCACUCCACCUGGGAAGUACGGUCGCAAGACUGAAACUCAAAGGAAUUGACGGGGGCCCGCACAAGCGGUGGAGCAUGUGGUUUAAUUCGAAGCAACGCGCAGAACCUUACCAGGUCUUGACAUGUAGGGAAGCCCGGUGAAAGCCAGGUGUGCCCGCAAGGGAACCCUAACACAGGUGCUGCAUGGUCGUCGUCAGCUCGUGUCGUGAGAUGUUGGGUUAAGUCCCGCAACGAGCGCAACCCUUGUUGCUAGUUGCCAUCAGUCCGGCUGGGCACUCUAGCGAGACUGCCUACGAAAGUAGGAGGAAGGCGGGGAUGACGUCUGAUCCGCAUGGCCCUUACGACCUGGGCGACACACGUGCUACAAUGCCGCGCACAGAGCGACGCUACUUCGCAAGAAGACGCAAAUCGCAUAAAUCGCGGCUCAGUUCGGAUUGGGGUCUGCAACUCGACCCCAUGAAGCUGGAAUCGCUAGUAAUCGUGAAUCAGCCACGUCACGGUGAAUACGUUCCCGGGCCUUGUACACACCGCCCGUCAAGCCAUGGAAGUGGGUUUUGCCUGAAAUCGCCGGGAGCUUGUGCCCUUAUCGGCCCGGCAGGCGCUUAGGGUAAGGCUCAUGACUGGGGCUAAGUCGUAACAAGGUAACUGUACCGGAAGGUGCGGUUGGAUCACCUCCUU
RNAcentral lists this ribosomal RNA (1495 nucleotides) under uncultured bacterium. RNAcentral's name for it is "bacterial SSU rRNA". It matches the Rfam family "Bacterial small subunit ribosomal RNA". The record is from RNAcentral.